CGGCCGAUAUCUGAUUAGCUAGUUGGUGGGGUAAAGGCCUACCAAGGCGACGAUCAGUAGCGGGUCUGAGAGGAUGAUCCGCCACACUGGGACUGAGACACGGCCCAGACUCCUACGGGAGGCAGCAGUGGGGAAUUUUGGACAAUGGGCGCAAGCCUGAUCC
RNAcentral lists this ribosomal RNA (163 nucleotides) under Neisseria subflava. RNAcentral describes it as "partial 16S ribosomal RNA". It matches the Rfam family "Bacterial small subunit ribosomal RNA", at positions 227 to 389 of the family's 1533-position model. The record is from RNAcentral. Lineage: Bacteria; Pseudomonadati; Pseudomonadota; Betaproteobacteria; Neisseriales; Neisseriaceae.